AGUGAACGCUGGCGGUAGGCCUAACACAUGCAAGUCGAACGGCAGCACAGUAAGAGCUUGCUCUUACGGGUGGCGAGUGGCGGACGGGUGAGGAAUACAUCGGAAUCUACUUUUUCGUGGGGGAUAACGUAGGGAAACUUACGCUAAUACCGCAUACGACCUACGGGUGAAAGCAGGGGAUCUUCGGACCUUGCGCGAUUGAAUGAGCCGAUGUCGGAUUAGCUAGUUGGCGGGGUAAAGGCCCACCAAGGCGACGAUCCGUAGCUGGUCUGAGAGGAUGAUCAGCCACACUGGAACUGAGACACGGUCCAGACUCCUACGGGAGGCAGCAGUGGGGAAUAUUAGACAAUGGGCGCAAGCCUGAUCCAGCCAUACCGCGUGGGUGAAGAAGGCCUUCGGGUUGUAAAGCCCUUUUGUUUGGAAAGAAAAGCAGCAGGUUAAUACCCCGCUGUUCUGACGGUACCCAAAGAAUAAGCACCGGCUAACUUCGUG
Molecule: ribosomal RNA, 492 nt
Filed under: uncultured bacterium
Lineage: Bacteria
Description: partial 16S ribosomal RNA
Rfam family: Bacterial small subunit ribosomal RNA
Source: RNAcentral